Molecule: non-coding RNA, 117 nt
Organism: Fukomys damarensis (Damara mole-rat)
Lineage: Eukaryota; Metazoa; Chordata; Mammalia; Rodentia; Bathyergidae
Source: Rfam
UUCUUGAGCCAUAGCACCCUGAAUGUCCAUAUCUCAUGUGAUCUGAAAAGCUAAGCAGGAUAAGGCCUGGUUAGUAAUUGGAUGGGAGACCACCUGGGAAUACAGGGCAUAUAGGCU